CGGAGGAUCCAAGCGUUAUCCGGAUUUAUGGGUUUAAAGGGUGCGUAGGUGGGAUAAUAAGUCAGAGGUGAAAGCUAGCAGCUUAACUGUUAAAUUGCCUUUGAUACUGUUAUUCUUGAGUAUAGUUGGAGUUGGCGGAAUGUGACAUGUAGCGGUGAAAUGCGUAGAUAUGUCACAGAACACCGAUCGCGAAGGCAGCUAACUAAACUAUCACUGACACUGAUGCACGAAAGCGUGGGGAGCAAACAGGAUUAGAUACCCUGGUAGUCCACGCCGUAAACGAUGAUAACUCGACGUUGGCAAUAUACUGUUCAGCGUCCAAGCGAAAGCGUUAAGUUAUCCACCUGGGGAGUACGAUCGCAAGGUUG
This 368-nucleotide ribosomal RNA is filed under the name uncultured organism. RNAcentral's name for it is "bacterial SSU rRNA". It matches the Rfam family "Bacterial small subunit ribosomal RNA", at positions 526 to 896 of the family's 1533-position model. The record is from RNAcentral.